GCAGAGCACUCCGUACGGGAGGCAGCAGUGGGGAAUAUUGCACAAUGGGCGCAAGCCUGAUGCAGCCAUGCCGCGUGUAUGAAGAAGGUCCUUCGGGUUGUAAAGUACUUUUCAGCAGUGAGGAAGGUGGGUAUGUUAAUAGCAUACUCAUUUGACGUUAGCUGCAGAAGAAGCACCGGCUAACUCCGUGCCAGCAGCCGCGGUAAUACGGAGGGUGCGAGCGUUAAUCGGAAUUACUGGGCGUAAAGCGCAUGCAGGUGGUUUGUUAAGUCAGAUGUGAAAGCCCGGGGCUCAACCUCGGAAUUGCAUUUGAAACUGGCAAACUAGAGUACUGUAGAGGGGGUAGAAUUUCAGGUGUAGCGGUGAAAUGCGUAGAGAUCUGAAGGAAUACCGGUGGCGAAGGCGGCCCCCUGGACAGAUACUGACACUCAGAUGCGAAAGCGUGGGGAGCAAACAGGAUUAGAUACCCUGGUAG
Molecule: ribosomal RNA, 475 nt
Filed under: uncultured bacterium
Lineage: Bacteria
Description: bacterial SSU rRNA
Rfam family: Bacterial small subunit ribosomal RNA
Source: RNAcentral